Molecule: long non-coding RNA, 567 nt
Filed under: Mytilus galloprovincialis (Mediterranean mussel)
Lineage: Eukaryota; Metazoa; Mollusca; Bivalvia; Mytilida; Mytilidae
Source: RNAcentral
UUAAAGUCAUAAGAAACCUCAAAUCAAAAAAAAAUUAAUGCAUAUGAUUUUUAUAACUCAAUGGAUAGUUUUCAUUAUAAAACUUAUGUACAUAUACUUUUUUUCUGAAGAAAAUUCUUUAAUUUAUUCAUAUUUAGAAGAAGUUUACUUUAUUUGAAUAGCUUCCUUCCAGCAAGCUAUUCCCCCGACAUAUUUUCCGUAUGCAAGGUGACCUCAGUGUGACCCAUCUCGUAAAAAUCCGGUGACCACAAUACGCAUGGAUGUCCUUAAAAUAAACUAUUAUCUGAAUUUACAUGUUAAACACGUGCUCAAUUUCCAUGCUUUUUUGUUUAUUUUUCGUCAAUUGUUGACAAACAGGUGACAAUCGUUAAACUUCGGCUUCAAAACACGAACUUUAAUUACCUGCCAUAUUUUCACAACAACACUGACCGAUUGAGAAAAAAAAUUGACAAUUAUACGAAAUUUACACGAAAAAAAUGAUAAAUUCGAGCACAGAAGACGAAGUUUAGGAUGUUUGUAUGCAUUAGUUCAAGAAUUGGAAGAACAUUAUUUUUCACCGGUCACUCG